Molecule: ribosomal RNA, 497 nt
Filed under: uncultured bacterium
Lineage: Bacteria
Description: partial 16S ribosomal RNA
Rfam family: Bacterial small subunit ribosomal RNA
Source: RNAcentral
GAUGAACGCUGGCGGCGUGCCUAAUACAUGCAAGUCGAGCGGACGGACGAGGAGCUUGCUUCUCUGAUGUUAGCGGCGGACGGGAGAGUAACACGUGGAUAACCUCCCUAUAAGACUGGUAUAACUUCGGGAAACCGUAGCUAAUACCAGAUAAUCUUUUGAACCGCAUGGUUCAAAAGUGAAAGACGGUCUUGCUGUCUCUUAUCGAUGCAUCCGCGCUGCAUUAGCUAGUUGGUAAGGUAACGGCUUACCAAGGCUACGAUGCAUAGCCGACCUGAGAGGGGGAUCGGCCACACUGGAACUGAGACACGGUCCAGACUCCUACGGGAGGCAGCAGUAGGGAAUGUUCGGCAAUGGGCGAAAGCCUGACGGAGCAACGCCGCGUGAGUGAUGAAGGUCUUCGGAUCGUAAAACUCUGUUAUUAGGGAAGAACAGAUGUGUAAGUAACUGUGCACAUCUUGACGGUACCUAAUCAGAAAGCCACGGCUAACUACGUG